Molecule: small nuclear RNA, 143 nt
Filed under: Fukomys damarensis (Damara mole-rat)
Lineage: Eukaryota; Metazoa; Chordata; Mammalia; Rodentia; Bathyergidae
Description: U2 spliceosomal RNA
Rfam family: U2 spliceosomal RNA
About the family: U2 is a small nuclear RNA (snRNA) component of the spliceosome (involved in pre-mRNA splicing). Complementary binding between U2 snRNA (in an area lying towards the 5' end but 3' to hairpin I) and the branchpoint sequence (BPS) of the intron results the bulging out of an unpaired adenosine, on the BPS, which initiates a nucleophilic attack at the intronic 5' splice site, thus starting the first of two transesterification reactions that mediate splicing.
Source: Rfam by way of RNAcentral
AUUGCUUCUCGGCCUUUUGGCUAAGAUCAAGUGUAAAAUAUCAUUGUGUUGUGAUUUAAAUCUUGCUAUCUCCCCAAAGCCUCAUCAUUUUAUAGGAGGGGCUUUAAAAGGAUAAUUUGAUUAUGGGGAUAUUCUAAUUUACU